GUGAAUCAUCGAAUUUUUGAACGCAAAUUGCACUCUCUGCGAAUAGGAUGACUAUUUGUGGUUCAGGCUAUAAAAAAUAAACAUCGUUGCUGUUGCUCGGUUUCGUUCGUCGGAACUUGUGUCAUCUUAAAUCCUUUUGGAUUUAAGCGACUUAAAAAUUUCUUUUUGUUUCCAUGAACGUUUCUAAGUUUUAUUUCUUUACACGUUUAAGGGUAUCGAUUUUGAUUGGACGUGACCAGCAUAUCGGAUCGCGUCCAUAAUCUUUCAUUAACUGACCUCA
This 280-nucleotide unclassified non-coding RNA is filed under the name Glomus sp. Its description in RNAcentral is "partial internal transcribed spacer 2". The record is from RNAcentral. Lineage: Eukaryota; Fungi; Glomeromycota; Glomeromycetes; Glomerales; Glomeraceae.